GAUGAACGCUGGCGGCGUGCCUCAAACAUGCAAGUCGAGCGGGGCUAUGUAAUAUCGCAAGGUAGAACAUAGCCUAGCGGCGAACGGGUGAGUAACACGUGGGUAACCUGCCUGGAAGACAGGGAUAACGAUUCGAAAGGGUCGCUAAUACCUGAUAAUAUCCUUUCAUCGCAUGGUGAUAGGAAGAAAGGGGAAACCCGCUUUCAGAUGGGCCCGCGUCUCAUCAGCUAGUUGGUAAGGUAAAGGCUUACCAAGGCGACGACGGGUAGCCGGUCUGAGAGGAUGUACGGCCACACUGGGACUGAGAUACGGCCCAGACUCCUACGGGAGGCAGCAGUUGGGAAUCUUAGGCAAUGGACGAAAGUCUGACCUAGCGACGCCGCGUGAGGGAAGAAGGCCUUCGGGUUGUAAACUCCUGGACUGGGGGACGAGGAAGGACGGUACCCCGAGUAGAAGGGACGGCUAACUACGUGCCAGCAGCCGCGGUAAAGUACGUCUAU
RNAcentral lists this ribosomal RNA (500 nucleotides) under uncultured bacterium. RNAcentral describes it as "bacterial SSU rRNA". It matches the Rfam family "Bacterial small subunit ribosomal RNA", at positions 28 to 532 of the family's 1533-position model. The record is from RNAcentral.